AUGGCCUCAGGAGUGCAAGUUAGUGAUGAUGUUGCAUUUUUUAUGACAUGAAAGUUUGGAAAUGCUCCACACCAGAAGAAAUCAAGAAAAGGAAGAAGGCUGUCAUUUUUAUUUUUAUUUUUUUUUGUUUCAGUGCAGGCAAAAAGUGCUUCAUGGUAGAAGAAGGCACAGAGAUCUUGGUGGAGAUGUUGGCGUAACCACAACUGGUCCUUUCAAACAUUUUGUGGGAAUGCUUCCUGAAAACGAUUGCUGCUAUGCUUUGUAUGAUGCACACUUUGAAACUAAGGAAUCCAGAAAAGAAGAGUUGAUGGGUUUUUGUGGGGUUUUUAAAAUUUUUUUUGUGUGUGUGGGCACCCAACUAGAACCUAUGAAAAGUAAACUGAGCUAUGCAAGCUCCAAAGAUGCAAUCUAAAAGGAAUUUUAAGGCAUAAACAUGAAUGGGCCAGAAGAUCUCAAUCGGGCUUGUAUUGCUGAAAAGCUAGGUGGGUCCUUAAUUGCAACCUUUGAAGGAUGCCCUGUGUAG
This 523-nucleotide long non-coding RNA is filed under the name Homo sapiens (human). Its description in RNAcentral is "non-protein coding lnc-PARD3B-6:1". Lineage: Eukaryota; Metazoa; Chordata; Mammalia; Primates; Hominidae. The record is from RNAcentral.